CUAUAUUGUCUCUUAAUAGCUAUAGAUAAAGAAUCAGAAAAAAAUGUGUUGAUUAUCUUAUGUAAAAGUUUAUUUGAAUAUUUUUGCAGCUCCAAAAUAAGAUGCAAAUCAAAAAGAAAAAGAAAAUUCCUCAGCUUUGCUCCAGAGGAAUCGGAUACAGAAUCAGAAACAUCCUCCUCUUCCUCGUCCUCUGAAUCUUCGGAAUCUUCUCAACAGCAAGCGGCUGCCGCGCAGAAGCAUAGUCUUCUCAAUGCUUCAAGAAACAUUCCAAAUAGUGGUAGCGCUCAAGAACAAAGCUUCCUAGCCAGUUUGUACAACUUCAUGAUGAACCGACGAACACCUAUUGGUGGUUUGCCCAUGGUUGGAUUCAAAAAACUAGAUCUAUUUCGACUUUAUGAAAAAGUCAGGCUCAUGGGUGGCUACGACUCAGUCACAACUAAUCGGCUAUGGAAGUACGUGGCACAAGAAGCUGGUAAUUCAAGUUUUUGCAAACGGCACUAUGAAAAAUAUCUUCUUCCAUUUGAGAAGCAUAUGUCAGACAAGAAGCAGCAGAAGAUUCAGAUAGAGAACAAAUGCAAGCAGACUGGAGAGGCAAGUAGUAUUCAUGAAACUCCGCAUACUCUUUUCAAGUUGCUUACUCAAUCAUGGAGAAAAAUAAUUGCAGUAAAACAGUGACACAACUAUUAGUAGACUGGGAAAAUUCAUAGUUAAAUGGAAGUUGUGAUUAUAUUGAAGCAAGCUUAAAUAUGCAGUUAAAGCCAUUUAAAGUAUGCUCCCGCAGUUUUCACAGGGUUAUGCAAUAUGUUAAGCAUAAGCACGGUUAUUUUGCAGCUUACCGUUGAAUGAUCCUAUGUGAUAUUAUUGGAAAAAACACAGUCUGUUGACCAAAAAAAUUUUGAAAUUUCAUGAAAUAAAUAUUGUGUAAGCACUUAGGAAACUUUGGUA
This 945-nucleotide long non-coding RNA is filed under the name Bemisia tabaci. RNAcentral's name for it is "lncRNA ENSSSA2NGG008249". Lineage: Eukaryota; Metazoa; Arthropoda; Insecta; Hemiptera; Aleyrodidae. The record is from RNAcentral.